This 31-nucleotide non-coding RNA is filed under the name Mus musculus (house mouse). Lineage: Eukaryota; Metazoa; Chordata; Mammalia; Rodentia; Muridae. The record is from RNAcentral.
UGUGACCUUCAAGGAUGCUGUGCUGGGGAUU